This 73-nucleotide transfer RNA is filed under the name Mangrovivirga cuniculi. RNAcentral's name for it is "tRNA-Met". It matches the Rfam family "tRNA". Rfam says of the family: Transfer RNA (tRNA) molecules are approximately 80 nucleotides in length. Their secondary structure includes four short double-helical elements and three loops (D, anti-codon, and T loops). The record is from RNAcentral. Lineage: Bacteria; Pseudomonadati; Bacteroidota; Cytophagia; Cytophagales; Mangrovivirgaceae.
GGCGAGAUAGCUCAGUUGGUUAGAGCGUCGGAUUCAUAACCCGGAGGUCGGGGGUUCAAAUCCCCUCUCGCUA